RNAcentral lists this signal recognition particle RNA (297 nucleotides) under Aotus nancymaae (Ma's night monkey). RNAcentral's name for it is "Metazoan signal recognition particle RNA (ENSANAG00000010216.1)". It matches the Rfam family "Metazoan signal recognition particle RNA". Rfam says of the family: The signal recognition particle (SRP) is a universally conserved ribonucleoprotein. It is involved in the co-translational targeting of proteins to membranes. Lineage: Eukaryota; Metazoa; Chordata; Mammalia; Primates; Aotidae. The record is from RNAcentral.
GCCAGUCAUGGAGGCACAUGCCUGUACUCUCAGCUAUUCUGGAGGCUGAGGCCAAAGUAUUACCUCAGCCCAGGAGUUUCAGGCUGCAGUAAGGUAUACUCACAUGGUGCCCACACUAAAUUCAGCAUCAAUGUAGUGACCUCCUAGAAACCAGCGAUUACCAGAUUGUGUAAGGAGGGGUGAACAGAGCAGGUUGGAAACAGAGGAGACCAUAACUCCCACAUUGAUCAGUAGUGGGAUUGUGCCUCUGAACGGCCACUGCACUCCAGCCUGGCAACAUAGUGAAAAACCAUCUCU